Molecule: ribosomal RNA, 1109 nt
Filed under: Bacillus sp. 1024B6_12EMannit
Lineage: Bacteria; Bacillati; Bacillota; Bacilli; Caryophanales; Bacillaceae
Description: bacterial SSU rRNA
Rfam family: Bacterial small subunit ribosomal RNA
Source: RNAcentral
ACAUGCAAGUCGAGCGGACCGACGGGAGCUUGCUCCCUUAGGUCAGCGGCGGACGGGUGAGUAACACGUGGGUAACCUGCCUGUAAGACUGGGAUAACUCCGGGAAACCGGGGCUAAUACCGGAUGCUUGAUUGAACCGCAUGGUUCAAUCAUAAAAGGUGGCUUUUAGCUACCACUURCAGAUGGACCCGCGGCGCAUUAGCUAGUUGGUGAGGUAACGGCUCACCAAGGCGACGAUGCGUAGCCGACCUGAGAGGGUGAUCGGCCACACUGGGACUGAGACACGGCCCAGACUCCUACGGGAGGCAGCAGUAGGGAAUCUUCCGCAAUGGACGAAAGUCUGACGGAGCAACGCCGCGUGAGUGAUGAAGGUUUUCGGAUCGUAAAACUCUGUUGUUAGGGAAGAACAAGUACCGUUCGAAUAGGGCGGCACCUUGACGGUACCUAACCAGAAAGCCACGGCUAACUACGUGCCAGCAGCCGCGGUAAUACGUAGGUGGCAAGCGUUGUCCGGAAUUAUUGGGCGUAAAGCGCGCGCAGGCGGUUUCUUAAGUCUGAUGUGAAAGCCCCCGGCUCAACCGGGGAGGGUCAUUGGAAACUGGGGAACUUGAGUGCAGAAGAGGAGAGUGGAAUUCCACGUGUAGCGGUGAAAUGCGUAGAGAUGUGGAGGAACACCAGUGGCGAAGGCGACUCUCUGGUCUGUAACUGACGCUGAGGCGCGAAAGCGUGGGGAGCGAACAGGAUUAGAUACCCUGGUAGUCCACGCCGUAAACGAUGAGUGCUAAGUGUUAGAGGGUUUCCGCCCUUUAGUGCUGCAGCAAACGCAUUAAGCACUCCGCCUGGGGAGUACGGUCGCAAGACUGAAACUCAAAGGAAUUGACGGGGGCCCGCACAAGCGGUGGAGCAUGUGGUUUAAUUCGAAGCAACGCGAAGAACCUUACCAGGUCUUGACAUCCUCUGACAACCCUAGAGAUAAGGGCUUCCCCUUCGGGGGCAGAGUGACAGGUGGUGCAUGGUUGUCGUCAGCUCGUGUCGUGAGAUGUUGGGUUAAGUCCCGCAACGAGCGCAACCCUUGAUCUUAGUUGCCAGCAUUCAGUUGGGCACUCUAA